Malania oleifera is the source of this 106-nucleotide small nucleolar RNA. The record is from RefSeq and is a predicted model, not a curated record. Lineage: Eukaryota; Viridiplantae; Streptophyta; Magnoliopsida; Santalales; Ximeniaceae.
ACUUGAUCAUGUGGCCAUUUAUGGAGCAAGUCCCUAAAACGCUCCCAAGUCUCAAAAACAAGUUCCCUAUCCAUAUGUGAGAAACUUGUUAUGGCUCUCUGAAGCU